GAUGAAGAACGUAGCGAAAUGCGAAAAGUAAUGUGAAUUGCAGAAUUCAGUGAAUCAUCGAAUCUUUGAACGCACAUUGCGCCCGCCAGUAUUCUGGCGGGCAUGCCUGUCUGAGCGUCAUUUCAACCCUCACGCCCCUAGGGCGUGGUGUUGGGGAUCGGCCAGCGCCCUCGCGGGCGAGGCCGGCCCCUAAAUCUAGUGGCGGACCCGUCGUGGCCUCCCCUGCGAAGUAGUGAUAUUCCGCAUAGGAGAGCGACGAGCCCCUGCCGUUAAACCCCCAACUUUCUCAGGUUGACCUCAGAUCAGGUAGGAAUACCCGCUGAACUUAAGCAUAUCAAUAAGCGGAGGA
This 349-nucleotide unclassified non-coding RNA is filed under the name soil metagenome. RNAcentral's name for it is "partial contains 5.8S ribosomal RNA, internal transcribed spacer 2, and large subunit ribosomal RNA". The stretch from base 1 to 120 matches the Rfam family "5.8S ribosomal RNA", at positions 35 to 154 of the family's 154-position model. The record is from RNAcentral.